This 1580-nucleotide unclassified non-coding RNA is filed under the name Hevea brasiliensis (rubber tree). Lineage: Eukaryota; Viridiplantae; Streptophyta; Magnoliopsida; Malpighiales; Euphorbiaceae. The record is from RNAcentral.
GAGAGAGAGAGAGAGAGAGAGGGAGAGAUGUAACUACUGUCUACCAGGUCUCUCAUUAUCAUCUUCAUGUUCAGCAAUUACAUUGGAAUCAGAAAGACCAUGCUCUGGUCUAUUUUGGAAUGAAUCCUCAUCAUACUCGGUACCAUCAGAAUCUUCAUCACUGCUCCAUUUCCUCUUCAUGAUUCUGGGAACCAAGCGAGUAACUUCUUUGGCCUCCAUCAUUACGUCAUCAUUGUUUAUCCGUUCAAAUCGAACAGCACUCACUUUUCUGGCAUUUCCAGCUAAUAUCUCAAGUUUAUAUACAUGAUGUUUUUCAUUCUGAUCUUGUCGCUCAGACUUGCCUUCAGUCUGUUCAUCAUCCUCUUCUUGAUUUUCCUUCUCGAGGAUCACUUUGAUGCUCUCACCAGUCCUUGGGAUGUAUCCAAAUGCCUCACAUAUAAAACCUGACACUGUCUCAUAUUGAUGACCCUCUGGCAUUUUGAUAUUUAGGUCUUCAGAGAGUUGAUCGAUAGUUGUAUUAGCAUCAACAUCAUAUAUUCCCUCUGCUCGCAUUACAAUGUAGCCAGUUUUCUUCUGUAUCUCUUCUUUUGAAUCAUUUUCAUCGAAGAUUUCACCAACAAUCUCCUCAACAACAUCUUCAAGGGUUACUAUUCCAAUAGUUCCACCAUAUUCAUUAAGAACAACUGCCAUGUGAACCUUCCUGAUGCGGAACUCUCUAAGAAGAUUCCAGACUGACAUUGAAUCAGGCACAAAGUAUGCAGGUUUGUGAGCCAUGUCUCCUACAGUUGUACUUUCUAGUAGCUCACCCUUCCGAACAUAAUCUAGCAGAUCCAUUGCAUAUGCAAUACCCAUAAUAUUGUCCACUCGCUGCUCAAAAACAGGAACCCUUGAAUAUUGAUGGGUCACCCACAACUCAUGAAAAUCAACAAGAGUUGCACUGGCAUCAAUUGCGACUACAUCAACAAGAGGUGUCAUGACCUCUCUAACAUGUGUAUCCUUGAUCUCUAGCACAUUUUCAAUCAUAUCCUGUUCUUCUUCCUCUAUUGCCCCACUCAAUUCUGCCCCACGCAACAUCAACUUCAAUUCUUCUUCAGUAACAUAUGGUUCACUUCUUCCUUUUAAACCAAGUAACUUUAGCAUUCCCAUCGACAAGUAGGUGACGACUCUUCCCACAGGAUACAACACCAGGGAAAGCCAUGCCACUGGCCUGACCACAAACCUAGCAACCUCUGCGGCAUUGUGAACAGCUAUACUUUUCGGAGUGAUCUCAGUGAGGAGUAAUAUUGCAACAGUCAUUACUCCAGUGGCUGCACUAACACCAGCUUCACCAAAUAUUGCUGUGGCUGCAUCUGUGACUAAUGCAGUUGCCCCAAUAUUGACCACAGUCGUGCCAAUAAGAAUAGUUGUCAGAAACCGAGUAACAUCACUACGGAGCAUUUUGAAGACACCAUCAUCAGGCUCUUUUUCAGCCAGCUCACGGACCUUCCAUGGCCACAACGUGGUUAUGGAAGUCUCAGCCAUAGAAAAAAAAAGCUGACAAACCCAGAAGUGCAGCCAAUACCAAACCCUGCUCCUUGAAA